Molecule: long non-coding RNA, 487 nt
Organism: Clupea harengus (Atlantic herring)
Lineage: Eukaryota; Metazoa; Chordata; Actinopteri; Clupeiformes; Clupeidae
Exons: 4
Source: RefSeq, a predicted model, not a curated record
UCAGCGUUCAGAAGAAAAGUGGAAGUUGUUCUGCAACUGUUGAUAUCGAACCCACCUUCCUCUCGCACAACGCGGAACUUAGUGUCGGCGGGUCUCGUCUUGUCCCCUCUCCGUUCACUCGACGCGCGAUGAAGAGAAGCAGUUGGUGAGACUCCCAGUCUCCCUGCAGAGCAGUAAGACAACUGCGGGCAUCUCCACACGGAUAAACACCAUCAGGUGGGCAAAGAACUUCGACCCGGCAGAGUUGGUGUAAUGUUAUCACAAAACUCGGCUAUUUCCGGACGUGAUGGACUCUACUCCAGAUGUGAAGAAGAAAAGGAGCGUAGACUCUGAAGGGGGCGUGUCUAAAUAUGACUCUGAAGGGGGCGUGUCUACAUGUGACUCUGACAGCGUCCAGCAGGGGGCAUCAGACACACAGUCCAAGAGGACAGACGAGACAGAGAGGGACUCUGCUGCAGAACACAGAUGGACACCAGCAGAGGCAGAG